This 280-nucleotide ribosomal RNA is filed under the name Alexandrium tamarense. Its description in RNAcentral is "partial Eukaryotic small subunit ribosomal RNA". It matches the Rfam family "Eukaryotic small subunit ribosomal RNA", at positions 150 to 425 of the family's 1831-position model. The record is from RNAcentral. Lineage: Eukaryota; Dinophyceae; Gonyaulacales; Pyrocystaceae.
UAGUAAUUCUAGAGCUAAUACGUGCACCAACCCCCAACUGAGCGAUCGGACGGGGGGUCAUUAUUAGAUAGAAGCCAAUGGCGCGCAAGCGUGUAUUGUGGUGAGUCAUGAUAAUUGUGCGGAUCGCAUGGCUUUACGCCGGCGAUGGAUCAUUCAAGUUUCUGCCCUAUCAGCUUUGGAUGGUAGGGUAUUGGCCUACCAUGGCAUUAACGGGUAACGGAGAAUUGGGGUUCGAUUCCGGAGAGGGAGCCUGAGAGACGGCUACCACAUCUAAGGAAGG